AAAAACAUCGCCUCUUGCCCUCCCAUGAAUAAGAGGUCCAGCCUGCCCCGUGACGUAUACGUUUAACGGCCGCGGUAUCAUGACCGUGCAAAGGUAGCGCAAUCACUUGUUUUUUAAAUGAAGACCCGUAUGAAAGGCCCUACGAGGGCUUAACUGUCUCCUCUCUCCAGUCAAUGAAAUUGAUAUUCCCGUGCAGAAGCAGGAAUGCCCCCAUAAGACGAGAAGACCCUGUGGAGUUUCAGACGCUAGCAGCCCCGCACAACAGCCCCCCCCCCGGGGGGCAAUAUCGCCUGCCCCUGCCCCUGCGUCUUCGGUUGGGGCGACCACGGAGCACACAAAACCUCCAUGUGAAACAAGAACACACUCUCUUAAACAAGGGCCCCCGCCCUAACUAUUAGAAUCUCUAACCAACAGACCCGGCAAAGCCGAUCAACGAACCAAAUUACCCCAGGGAUAACAGCGCAAUCCCCUUUAAGAGACCUUAUCAAAAAGGGGGCUUACGACCUCGAUGUUGGAUCAGGACAUCCUAAUGGCGCAGCAACUAUUAAGGGUUCGUUUGUUCAACGAUUAAAGUCCUACGUGAUCUGAGUUC
Molecule: ribosomal RNA, 592 nt
Filed under: Lophiocharon trisignatus (three-spot frogfish)
Lineage: Eukaryota; Metazoa; Chordata; Actinopteri; Lophiiformes; Antennariidae
Description: partial 16S ribosomal RNA
Rfam family: Bacterial large subunit ribosomal RNA
Source: RNAcentral